RNAcentral lists this ribosomal RNA (503 nucleotides) under uncultured bacterium. Its description in RNAcentral is "partial 16S ribosomal RNA". It matches the Rfam family "Bacterial small subunit ribosomal RNA", at positions 30 to 523 of the family's 1533-position model. The record is from RNAcentral.
AUUGAACGCUGGCGGCAGGCUUAACACAUGCAAGUCGAGCGGGGUGAUGGUGCUUGCACUAUCACUUAGCGGCGGACGGGUGAGUAAUGCUUAGGAAUCUGCCUAUUAGUGGGGGACAACAUCUCGAAAGGGAUGCUAAUACCGCAUACGUCCUUCGGGAGAAAGCAGGGGAUCACUUGUGACCUUGCGCUAAUAGAUGAGCCUAAGUCGGAUUAGCUAGUUGGUGGGGUAAAGGCCUACCAAGGCGACGAUCUGUAGCGGGUCUGAGAGGAUGAUCCGCCACACUGGGACUGAGACACGGCCCAGACUCCUACGGGAGGCAGCAGUGGGGAAUAUUGGACAAUGGGGGGAACCCUGAUCCAGCCAGGCCGCGUGUGUGAAGAAGGCCUUAUGGUUGUAAAGCACUUUAAGCGAGGAGGAGGCUCUUUUGGUUAAUACCCAAGAUGAGUGGACGUUACUCGCAGAAUAAGCACCGGCUAACUCUGUGCCAGCAGCCGCGGUAA